Molecule: ribosomal RNA, 975 nt
Filed under: uncultured bacterium
Lineage: Bacteria
Description: bacterial SSU rRNA
Rfam family: Bacterial small subunit ribosomal RNA
Source: RNAcentral
CGGCUGGCGGCAGCUUACCAUGCAGUCGAGCGGAAACGAUACCAGCUUGCUGGUAGGCGUCGAGCGGCGGACAGGUGAGUAAUACUUAGGAAUCUACCUAGUAGCGGGGGAUAGCUCGGGGAAACUCGAAUUAAUACCGCAUACGACCUACGGGAGAAGGGGGCAGUUUACUGCUCUCGCUAUUAGAUGAGCCUAAGUCGGAUUAGCUAGAUGGUGGGGUAAAGGCCUACCAUGGCGACGAUCUGUAGCUGGUCUGAGAGGAUGAUCAGCCACACCGGGACUGAGACACGGCCCGGACUCCUACGGGAGGCAGCAGUGGGGAAUAUUGGACAAUGGGGGAAACCCUGAUCCAGCCAUGCCGCGUGUGUGAAGAAGGCCUUUUGGUUGUAAAGCACUUUAAGCAGUGAAGAAGACUCCUCGGUUAAUACCCGUGGACGAUGACAUUAGCUGCAGAAUAAGCACCGGCUAACUCUGUGCCAGCAGCCGCGGUAAUACAGAGGGUGCAAGCGUUAAUCGGAAUUACUGGGCGUAAAGCGAGCGUAGGUGGCUUGAUAAGUCAGAUGUGAAAUCCCCGGGCUUAACCUGGGAACUGCAUCUGAAACUGUUAGGCUAGAGUAGGUGAGAGGAAGGUAGAAUUCCAGGUGUAGCGGUGAAAUGCGUAGAGAUCUGGAGGAAUACCGAUGGCGAAGGCAGCCUUCUGGCAUCAUACUGACACUGAGGCUCGAAAGCGUGGGUAGCAAACAGGAUUAGAUACCCUGAUAGUCCACGCCGUAAACGAUGUCUACUAGUCGUUGGGUCCCUUGAGGACUUAGUGACGCAGCUAACGCAAUAAGUAGACCGCCUGGGGAGUACGGCCGCAAGGUUAAAACUCAAAUGAAUUGACGGGGGCCCGCACAGCGGUGGAGCAUGUGUUUAUUCGAUGCAACGCGAAGACCUUACCUGUCUUGACUAUCUAGAAUCCUGCAGAGAUGCGGA